UGGGGAAUAUUGGACAAUGGGCGAAAGCCUGAUCCAGCAACGCCGCGUGAGUGAUGAAGGCCUUCGGGUUGUAAAACUCUUUCGUCGGGGACGAUAAUGACGGUACCCGAAGAAGAAGCUCCGGCUAACUUCGUGCCAGCAGCCGCGGUAAUACGAAGGGAGCUAGCGUUGUUCGGAAUCACUGGGCGUAAAGCGCACGUAGGCGGAUAGUUAAGUCAGGGGUGAAAUCCUGGGGCUCAACCCCAGAACUGCCUUUGAUACUGGCUGUCUCGAGGUCGAGAGAGGUUGGUGGAAUUCCUAGUGUAGAGGUGAAAUUCGUAGAUAUUAGGAAGAACACCAGUGGCGAAGGCGGCCAACUGGCUCGAUACUGACGCUGAGGUGCGAAAGCGUGGGGAGCAAACAGGAUUAGAUACCCAUGUAGUCCCUGAGCGGGCUGGCAAGGC
RNAcentral lists this ribosomal RNA (443 nucleotides) under uncultured bacterium. RNAcentral's name for it is "bacterial SSU rRNA". It matches the Rfam family "Bacterial small subunit ribosomal RNA", at positions 355 to 821 of the family's 1533-position model. The record is from RNAcentral.